This 522-nucleotide ribosomal RNA is filed under the name uncultured Glomus. RNAcentral's name for it is "SSU rRNA". It matches the Rfam family "Eukaryotic small subunit ribosomal RNA", at positions 568 to 1092 of the family's 1831-position model. The record is from RNAcentral. Lineage: Eukaryota; Fungi; Glomeromycota; Glomeromycetes; Glomerales; Glomeraceae.
CAGCAGCCGCGGUAAUUCCAGCUCCAAUAGCGUAUAUUAAAGUUGUUGCAGUUAAAAAGCUCGUAGUUGAAUUUCGGGAUCAAUAUAUCGGUCGUGCCUUGGUACGUACUGGUAUCAUUGGUUUCUCCUUUCUGACGAACCAUGAUGUCAUUAAUUUGGUGUUAUGGGAAGUUAGGACUGUUACUUUGAAAAAAUUAGAGUGUUUAAAGCAGGCUUUAGCUUGAAUACAUUAGCAUGGAAUAAUGAAAUAGGACGUUCGAACCUAUUUUGUUGGUUUCUAGGAUCAACGUAAUGAUUAAUAGGGAUAGUUGGGGGCAUUAGUAUUCAAUUGUCAGAGGUGAAAUUCUUGGAUUUAUUGAAGACUAACUACUGCGAAAGCAUUUGCCAAGGAUGUUUUCAUUAAUCAAGAACGAAAGUUAGGGGAUCGAAGACGAUCAGAUACCGUCGUAGUCUUAACCAUAAACUAUGCCGACUAGGGAUCGGAUGAUGUUAAUUUUUUAAUGACUCAUUCGGCGCCUUACG